AGUUACAUUUUAUUCCUGUUAUUUUUUAUUUUCACAUGUUUCUUCACCUGCAGGUUCUGGAAGAAGCUUCGAGAGGAAGUGCCAGAGUUUUGUUGGGGAAAGCUUACUGUCCCCAAAGGGUGAGAUUAUAAUGAUAGCAGCAUGCUCCUGCAGAACAAUCAGAGAUGAAGGGAACAGACAACAUGGAAGAGUUAACAGGAAGAAGGAAAAGAGUUUAUCAGAAGAUUUGCAUGUGCAGCACCUGGCACAUCACAGACCCAAGUGCAGCUGUAAUAUUGCUAUGAAUACUACUGAUACUAAGUUUUUAUCAGUGAAAUAUGGUCAGUCAUCCAACAAUCUGCUUCUUUGGCAUGCAUUCCACUUGCUAUAACGAGGAAUGGACCAAGAGUAUAUCUCAAGAAAUAUAUGGUUAGAAACAAUGCUUUUAUGUUUUCCAUAUUUUGUUAUUUUUGCCUCAAAUCACAGUUCCGUUCAGUGUGAUCUGACAUGGCUGAAGUACUGAAACCCCCACUCCUCCAAAGCAGUGUUGAUUAUAGAAACCCACAAACUUAACCUAACCUAGAGCAGCUUUUCCAGCAGUGAUAUAAUUACAGUAGUUAUUGUUGCAAUAAACCAGAUGUUCCUGAACUGGAAUGAAAGCA
RNAcentral lists this long non-coding RNA (641 nucleotides) under Struthio camelus australis. Its description in RNAcentral is "lncRNA (ENSSCUG00000018713.1)". Lineage: Eukaryota; Metazoa; Chordata; Aves; Struthioniformes; Struthionidae. The record is from RNAcentral.